GACAGGGGAUGCAAGCGUUAUCCGGAAUGAUUGGGCGUAAAGCGUCUGUAGGUGGCUUUUUAAGUCUGCCGUCAAAUCCCAGGGCUCAACCCUGGACAGGCGGUGGAAACUACCAAGCUAGAGUACGGUAGGGGCAGAGGGAAUUUCCGGUGGAGCGGUGAAAUGCGUAGAGAUCAGCAGGAAUACCCGUGGCGAAGGCGGCCCCCUGGGCCGAACC
RNAcentral lists this ribosomal RNA (217 nucleotides) under uncultured prokaryote. RNAcentral's name for it is "partial 16S ribosomal RNA". It matches the Rfam family "Bacterial small subunit ribosomal RNA", at positions 524 to 740 of the family's 1533-position model. The record is from RNAcentral.